RNAcentral lists this ribosomal RNA (342 nucleotides) under uncultured Bacteroidota bacterium. Its description in RNAcentral is "bacterial SSU rRNA". It matches the Rfam family "Bacterial small subunit ribosomal RNA", at positions 1041 to 1382 of the family's 1533-position model. Lineage: Bacteria; Pseudomonadati; Bacteroidota. The record is from RNAcentral.
CUGCAUGGUUGUCGUCAGCUCGUGCCGUGAGGUGUCGGGUUAAGUCCCAUAACGAGCGCAACCCCUACUGUAGUUGCCAUCAGGUCAUGCUGGGGACGUCUAACAAAACUGCCCGCGUAAGCGUGGAGGAAGGUGGGGACGACGUCAAAUCAGCACGGCCCUUACGUCCAGGGCUACACACGUGCUACAAUGGCCGGUACAGAGGGCAGCCACUUGGUGACAAGGAGCAAAUCUCAAAAGCCGGUCUCAGUUCGGAUCGGAGUCUGCAACUCGACUCCGUGAAGUUGGAUUCGCUAGUAAUCGUAGAUCAGCAAUGCUACGGUGAAUACGUUCCCGGGCCUU